GCCGUUGUAGCUCAGUCGGUAGAGCAGCUCACUCGUAAUGAGCAGGUCGUCCGUUCGAUUCGGAUCAACGGCUCCA
RNAcentral lists this transfer RNA (76 nucleotides) under Desulfuromonadales bacterium. RNAcentral's name for it is "tRNA-Thr". It matches the Rfam family "tRNA". From Rfam's summary of the family: Transfer RNA (tRNA) molecules are approximately 80 nucleotides in length. The record is from RNAcentral. RNAcentral also lists the same sequence under 2 other names. Lineage: Bacteria; Pseudomonadati; Thermodesulfobacteriota; Desulfuromonadia; Desulfuromonadales.